RNAcentral lists this ribosomal RNA (275 nucleotides) under uncultured bacterium. Its description in RNAcentral is "partial 16S ribosomal RNA". The record is from RNAcentral.
CUGCUGCCUUCCGUAGGAUCUGGUCCGUGUCUCAGUACCAGUGUGGGGGACCUUCCUCUCAGAACCCCUACGCAUCGUCGGUUAGGUGGGCCGUUACCCCGCCUACUGCCUAAUGCGCCGCAUGCCCAUCCCUGUCCGGCCGAAGCCUUUCCUGCCUCCGGGAUGCCCCGGUGGCAUGUACGCGGGUUUAGCCCGCCCUUCGGCGGGUUGUCCCCCUGACAGGGGCAGGUUGCAUACGUGUUACUCACCCGUGCGCCGGUCGCCGGCGGAGAAAG